GUAGGGAGCGAGCGUUAUCCGGAAUUAUUGGGCGUAAAGAGUGCGUAGGCGGUUUACUAAGUCUGAUGUGAAAGCCCCCGGCUUAACCGGGGAGGGUCAUUGGAAACUGGUAAACUUGAGUACAGUAGAGGCAAGUGGAAUUCCAUGUGUAGCGGUAAAAUGCGUAGAUAUAUGGAGGAACACCAGUGGCGAAGGCGGCUUGCUGGGCUGGAACUGACGCUGAGGCACGAAAGCGUGGGGAGCAAACAGGAUUAGAUACCCUGGUAGUCCACGCCGUAAACGAUGGGCACUAAGUGUUGGCAGAGAUGUCAGUGCUGUAGUUAACGCAUUAAGUGCCCCGCCUGGGGAGUACGGUCGCAAGACUG
RNAcentral lists this ribosomal RNA (365 nucleotides) under uncultured organism. Its description in RNAcentral is "partial 16S ribosomal RNA". It matches the Rfam family "Bacterial small subunit ribosomal RNA", at positions 527 to 896 of the family's 1533-position model. The record is from RNAcentral.